CCCAAACCCAUGUGAACAUACCUACUGUUGCUUCGGCGGGAUUGCCCCGGGCGCCUCGUGUGCCCCGGAUCAGGCGCCCGCCUAGGAAACUUAAUUCUUGUUUUAUUUUGGAAUCUUCUGAGUAGUUUUUACAAAUAAAUAAAAACUUUCAACAACGGAUCUCUUGGUUCUGGCAUCGAUGAAGAACGCAGCGAAAUGCGAUAAGUAAUGUGAAUUGCAGAAUUCAGUGAAUCAUCGAAUCUUUGAACGCACAUUGCGCCCGCCAGUAUUCUGGCGGGCAUGCCUGUCUGAGCGUCAUUUCAACCCUCAUGCCCCUAGGGCGUGGUGUUGGGGAUCGGCCAAAGCCCGCGAGGGACGGCCGGCCCCUAAAUCUAGUGGCGGACCCGUCGUGGCCUCCUCUGCGAAGUAGUGAUAUUCCGCAUCGGAGAGCGACGAGCCCCUGCCGUUAAACCCCCAACUUUCCAAGGUUGACCUCAGAUCAGGUAGGAAUACCCGCUGAA
This 500-nucleotide unclassified non-coding RNA is filed under the name Clonostachys rosea f. rosea. Its description in RNAcentral is "sequence contains ITS1, 5.8S rRNA gene, ITS2". The stretch from base 144 to 297 matches the Rfam family "5.8S ribosomal RNA". Lineage: Eukaryota; Fungi; Ascomycota; Sordariomycetes; Hypocreales; Bionectriaceae. The record is from RNAcentral.